CGCUCUCUCCUUUGGAUGACUGAUGAGAAUCUCAAGCCCCACAUGUCCAAGACGGAAAUCUGCCAAAGGUGGUGGAAUCAGCCUUGACGUAAAUCCCAUUAACCCAAUUUCAGAAUACGCCCCCGAUCAGCACUUCUCACCAGCACCCCCUGAUCGAAGUCACUGUCUCUCGCCUGGACUCUUGCAAUAGCCUCUUAGCCGGUCUCCAGGGUCCCAUCCUCGCCCCGGCUUCCCUGGCCCCCACUGCCUUGUCUCCACACAGCAGCAGAGCCAUCCUAUUAGGACAAAUAGAACAGGUCGGUUUCUGAUCAAAGCUCAUCGAUUUCUCUCCAUCUGAAGUGCUGACCAGCCUGCAAGGCCAUCCACGGCCUGCCCCCACCCCCACCUCUCCAGCUUAUCUGCACUUCUCUCUCCUCCACUUCCCAGGCGAGCAUGCUCCUCCCCCAGGGCCUUUGCACAUGCUGUCUGAGGCUCUCUUUCCUGGGCUUGCUCCCCACUCCUUCUGGAUCUCCACUUUCACGCCACAUCCCAUCAGUGACAUCUUUCAUCAGAGCCCUCGUCCUUCCUGCUCGUUCUGCGUAGCCUGUCACCACCUGACAUCACUAGUGAUUUGUGUGUCUUCAUUUACACGCUGCGUGUUUAUUCAUGUCACUCUAUUUUCAGCCAACUCAGAGGGAGACCUUGUGUGUCUGUGCCCUGCUCUGAGCCGGGUGGGGCUGGAGACCCGCACUCCCCACUGUCCGUCCUGCAGAAGGAGACAGCUCGACGCCAGCAAGGCGCUCGCGAGAGACCAAGACAACACUUGUUGCUGCCCCGUAUCAGGGAGGAACGUGAGCUGACAGUCAUUAUCUUAUAUAACUGGGUGCCCUAGAAUUUUCAGAACAAUCACACUUUCCUUAACGGAAAAUAGAGCAAAGGCAGAGCUCCACGGAGCAGCCGCGGGUCACAUGCUGCCCGGCUGUGGGGGGCCGGCCGGCUCACGGUUCAGAUGCUCACACGCAGGUCGUAGGACCAGUCAUUGCAGGACUACAGGUCACAGGUAUGAAAAGGUGCUCGUCGACGGUCAACAGGACCCCUCAGCAGACUGAACCCGUGUCGACGAAGCGAAAAGCAGCCCCGAGGACGGCGCUGGCCUGAGACCAGGCUCCCCAGCGCGGGCGGAGUCUGCUCCUGGGCAGGGAACUGGCCGUGGCCCGCGGUGCGGUGCAGGUUCGAGUCUUCGGAAGAUUCCUGCGGACCCACGCUGUGAAUCUUGAGCACACGCGGGCUCAGCAGGGAGGACAUUCACGCUCCAGAGCCAGCAGCAGCCGCCAGAGGUCCUGGGCUGAUCCGGAACCUGCCUGGGGUGUGACUCCUGAGAGACAACGCGUUCAGCACGCCCCUCCAGCUCCUGACACAGCCCAAAGCCCGCACCACAGAGGCCGGUGUCCUGCUGCCCCCACGGGACCAGGCUCCCCUUCCCCACCCCGAGACUUGCAGGAAGUCCUUUGUCGACUUCUUCCGAGUCUCCUGGGAACAAGAGAAAACGCAACGUUUCAGCGAUUUGAAGACAGAGGCUCCACCGCGAGCCCGGGUUCUAGAGGAUCCAGCUCUAAACCCACGGAGACGAUGAACUCAAGUCCCGGGACCGAGACAGCAUCUCGGCUCAUUCUGGGCACUGGGGGGUGGUGGGUGCAGCCUCUCUGCAGACCCCCGGCCUCUCUCUGUGGGCCCUGGGGGCUCGGGGGCUCCUCUUGGCCCCGAGGGGUGACAGCGUGGAGCAGGGUGGCGGGGUGUGUGUCAGGGGGAGAAAAGAGAUGCUGACGCUGAAUCCUCCUGGGCAGGAAAAGCAACCUGGGGAGAUGCCAAGGCCUUUCCAGGGGGAACUCCUGCAUCUCCCAGAGGUGCGGGGGCCGUGCCCUGCUCACCUCUCCAGGGACUUGGGAAGGACGGCCUGUGUCCCACCGACACAGCCCCCAAGGGCACUGGGGCCUCCCUGGUCUGCUCAGCCCCUGUGCAGGGGGCCAGGGGCAGCUCAGGGGAGGGGACGUUCCCGGCACACACCAGAUAUCCAGUCAGUGGGGCCACACUGGCUUCGGUCAGCACCGGCCGUGCGAGGCCCCCAGAGCCCGGGGACGGCUCCCCACAGCAGCGCCAGGCAGAGAAUGCCCAAAAAAGACCAGCAAAGCCAUUAGGCCUGAAGCACCUUCCAGCUUUCCAAAAAAAAAAAAAAAAAAAAAGGCAGGAACUUUUUCUCCAGGCCAAGGAGAGAUUCGCUCAGGACAAAUGCAGGGCGACGAUCAUUUAUCAUCAGGAGCCUGGAGGGUGCAGGCAGCCCCGUCCCGGCCGCUCGCCUCAAGGUCGGAAGCUUCUGCUUUCCCUCAUUAUUUCUAUUUUUAACAAUUGCGUUCAGUCCUCUUACAAAAAUAGCGAGAGGUGAGAACAUUUCAAGCGCUAACAUGCCCCCUUUGUCAGAAAACUGCAGGGAUGCGGGAAAAACCGGCCAGGACACGGGGGCCGUGGUCGAGUCCUCCACCACCAGAGCCGAAAUGCCCUGUGAUGCUCUGAUCCACCGUCACUGCACAAGGGGUAAACUGAGGCCAGCAGGGUAGGCACACACCCCAGGGCAUUCAGGGAGUGAGGCCCAGGGCAGCGGGUACUGUACUUCUGAAAUGCAGGCCCAGGUGGCCGCAGGGAGCCCGGGUCCUGGGGCCAGAUGAGCAGGGAGCAGGGAGCAGGGGCUGCCCCCACAGCCCCUCAACUCCCCUGCCCUGAAUCAUAAACAAGGCGCCAUCCCUGAGAGCUUGGGGGCCCGACACUGGGCACCGUCCUCACACGGAAGUUAGGACGAGCUCCUGGGGAGACAGCUGAGAAGUGUGUGCAUGUGUCCAUGUGUCCAUACACACGUGUGCUGUGUGAAUGGUGCAUGCCACGCAUGUAUGUGCUCACUCGUGCACACGUGUGUGCGUGUGUUUGAGUGCACGCAUGCACGUGUGUGUCAGGAUGUGUCUGCAGGUGCACAGCCACCCCCUCCGGGCCUGGGCGUCUCUGCAAACUCUGGACGCCCCAGCAGCCCCUGUCCUUCCCCACCUGCAGGCUGCGCAUCAGCCCUGAUUCAGGAUUCUGAGUGGACCUCGGGGCCGGGGGCCGGCUCAGCCCCACCUGACAGUGAGCAUAGUCAGUCGGGCCUGUGCGUCUGGAAAGUUGAACUCUUCCUGCCGCCCCCUGCGUCCACACUCUGCUCCUCUUUCCCACGUCCACCUAAAAUGCACGGUCCAGCUCCAGGCCAGAGCCAGGAUGCUGGGCCUCGUAAAAGAGACAGGAGGAGACGCAGCCAUGAGGCGGCCGCGUGGCAGCCCUGCCACCCCAGACCAAGUGACGCCAACGCCCCGGCUACAUGGUGGUGACCAGGCACCGGGCACGCACCUCGAGCGAAUUCUAAAAUGUUCCAGAAGCCAGGGACGGCCUGUGUCAGUUCCCCGUCGCUGCCGCACCGGUGGCCCCAGGAUCCAGCGCUGGACACGGCAGCAUCGGCUUCUGCUUCCCGUGGGUCAGCUGCCUCCAGUCUAGCCAGUAGCCCAGCCUUGUCAAGUGGCCCACACCCUCUUCUGUCUGCUUCUUGCCAUCUGUCUCCCCCAAGGUCACUGUGAGACCAUGACAGCCUUUAGUCCUGGAAGGAGCACAUAAUGACUUUGAGGUGGUAUUUGUGCACCUAAAAAACAGUUGGAGAUUGCCAAAGUUUAAUUUUCAAAGAGGCAAAAUCAUCGCUCUCGAGCAAACAGGAAUGACCCCAUGUAAAGAUUCCAUUUAACUCAUUAGUCAAAGAGGAAACCAAAGAUGUUACAAUGUUUGUUGAGAGCAUGUAAGAAGGGAAAGGAUUUAUAGGCUAGUUAACAGAAAUGUUACAAGAUCACUGGGGACGCCACAGCCGGGUGAAAUCUGGGCGUCAUCUGCCCACCAGACAGAAAUGGCUGCGUCUCUACUAGACAAGUCUACAGGUUAGCAGGUGACGUCCCUGAGUCCGGGGCCUUCAAUCAACGGUGGACAACGAGGUGAACUACGUGCGUCCCCUGGACUGGUCUGGGGCCCCAAGGUGCUCAACUUCUGGGCUUCUUCCCAAGUGUCAGCUGAUUUUUCUGACAAUAGUUAUAUAUUCAUUUUGAACAUGCACUAGGAGAGAUGAACUACUCAGACAUCAAGUCCACGGCUGAAGGCUUCCUGUGGAACGCACUUAUCUAAGUAAAGCAUCAGUCACUUUAAAGGAAGAUAUUUCAGAGAAGUCACUGUAUAGAGUCUGCACAGAAGUGGGAAAAGAUGAAGGUGGUAAGAGGAUGACGAUUCCCAGGCAUUCUCCUCGCGGGGCGCACAGGUGCACAGCAAGGUGGGGGAGCCCGCCCUGCGUCGUUGGUCCCAGCUUCCCUGCCACCUGAUGCUCCUCGCAGGGAGGGCUCCCUUCCUGGCCCCUCUGUCGCAGCAUCAGCCCGUCCUGCGCCUACGAAAACCCACGUCCUCAGGCUCCCUCUGAUCCCAGCGCUGAGGACGUAACGUGGAGACAAAGGCUGGGACAGCAGGUGCGCCGUGAGGCAUGAGGGUACCGCUGAUGCAACGUCUUCCAGCGCCAGGAAGCCCUGGGAGCGCCACCAGCCCCUCCUCAGGCUGAGCCCAGGCUCUGGGACUCAGGGGACUGAAGUCGCUGCUCUGCCGCCCAGGCUGACUCAUCGUUUUUGGUGGACCUCCCAUCUCUGCCACCAACCUCCACGUUGGGUGCUGCGCUUUUGCAUUUUAUUCUCUGAGGUGACUGGGGGUCCGGGGGCUCCCUGAGGCCUGUCCCCACCUCCAGAACCAGCUGCAUAAUCCCAAGGCUCUGCCUCCUGAGGUGCGAAGCCAGGACCGGCCCGGGGCCUCUCGGGGCCCAAACCCGGCUCCCCAGCUCAGACAACUUCCACCCUGAGCCCUGGAGCACCUUUUUCUCUCUCGAUAGUUUUGGUCUAGAUUUCGAAUUUUUUAAGAUACAAAUGUGCAGCCCCCUGGCCCUUCCUGCGAGACGCAUCCCACAGCUCACUUGGCAGCACAAGGUGGAAGCCUAACAACACGGGACGAGGCCGUCUGCUCGAGCUGGAUCCCCCUGUGAAGACUCUGCUCGGCGCCGGCCCCAGGUCCACCUCCGGCAGGAGACAGCCUCUGGGUCCCCGUAGCCGAGGCCCCGCGGGCUUUGUGUGUGUUUACAGCAACGACACGGCCAUCACAGCCUCACUGAGGUGACCCUGCCUGUCCCUCCGCGGUGGCCUGCAGGGCAGCGAGCGGCACUGUUUAAGCUGACGGGCAGGUCUGCUCUCAGCCCUUCCACGUGUCUAACUCAGUGCUUGUCCUCGGGAAUUCUCGGUGCUGUGGUCAUCUGGGACACGUGGGGCCGGGCGCGAGGGCAUGUGCGGUGCCUCAGGGCUUCAGUUCCAUCUGGGAGGCAGAGGGACGGGGACGCGAGGCUGCGGGGGGCGGUGGACGUGGUCACUAUCCAGCAAGUGCCCACUCCUGCCCCGGCCUCCAGGAAGGGGCGGAUCUCCCGUGCGUUGGCGGGCAUGGUGUCGGCCAGCCUGCAACUGCUGAGGGGCUGACGUCUCCUCUUGAGCUUCUGCCACCACCCGGGCCCAGGAGAGCGAGAGGCGAGUGGAGCAGGCUGGGCCGAGCGGUGGCUGGACCCCGAGCGGAGAACGCUCGUGCUUGUUCACAGAACCCGCUGAACUCAUGCAACUGACAGGGCCCCCAAGACGAAGUCCCCCAGCCAGGCUAAGUGGAGUCCUGGACACCCCUCCUCCCACUCUGCCCCAACCACUGGUUCUCCCAGCCUCGCACCAGCCUCCCUGCCCGUGACCUCAGCUGUCCCUUCCUUGGCCCCCUGAUCUCUGCAUCAGUGCUGUCUGGCAUCUGCUCCCCUGGCCAGCCACUCGGGGGCUCAGGAGGCCUGCGUCCAGCCCCUCACAGGCCGCCCUGCAUGGAGGGGUGCUUGCUGGGCACGGCUGAGAGGAGGAAGGACGGGCGGUCCUCACGGACAGGGUCGGGGGCACUCCUGCAGUGCUUAACCCUCCACCUCUGAGCCUUAUGGACUCAUGAGCCAGGAUGCUGCUGCCCACCCACCACAGUCAGGGGAGGGGGCGGCCGGUCACAGAGACCCCACUGAUGGGACCCCCGUGGUCCUGCCUGUCGGGACUGGAAAGUCGGUCAAACUCUGCUGAGGUUCGCAGCAGCUGGGUUGGAAACGGGCGCCUCCGUGGAGAAGCUGCCAUGAAAACCGAGCAAAUUCACCCUGCAUGGCAUCCCGCCUCCACUUGGCACAGCCCCCGAGCUCUCUGAUGAGGGGACCCCACGCGGGCUGCGGGAGCUGUUUGUGCUGCACCGCAAGGCAGCUGGCCCGCGAGACGACACCUCUGCUCGGCAGAUUGUGGGAAGCUGGUGGUGCAAUGCGAUAGGAGGAUGAGGGUGCUUUGCGUCUGACUUCAAGAAGGAAGACUGGAGAUCGUUAGCUGCUGUCAAAACAGCUGUGUGUUUGCAGAUCGCACGGGAGCUUAGCUGUAAACAUUUUUGUGCCGAUUCAGCUCAUUGCUGUGCGGCCCAAGCUGAAGCCGUGGGUUUGACUCAACCUUUCCCAGGAUGCUGCCAGCAUUUCUGGUUCACGAAGUUUGUUCUGAGCACGACAGCUUGAGAACCGCUGGCUGGUCCUCUGGGCUGGAAGGCAUCUGCCGUGGCCCCGGAGAGUCACCUAGCCAACCCGCACGUGUGGACCGCUCAGCCAUGUCACACCCCAGGGGUGCUGACGUGAUCUCCCAGGCCUGGAGGAACCUGCUACGGGGGGCAGCCCUGGUAGCACCCAGCUCUGGGGAUGGGCAGCCCAUCUGGGGCAAAGGGCACAGCAGCGGCCAGAGAGGAGCCCGGAAGCUCGUCCUUCCUGCUGGCGCAUUCUCUGCUGCGAGAAGGUGGGUCAGGAGGAGGAGGGGGCAGGGCAGCCAUCAGAGGAGGCACACAGCUGCCCUCAUCCCCUCCAGCUCCUCAGAGAAGCAGAGUCUGUCCGGGGCAUGAGGGAGCUUGUCCCGUCACGGAUGAAGCUCGGGCGCCCGCCAUCUGCCAGGCUCCGGAGCUCAGACUUCCCCCACAGACCAACCUCACAGCUCGGAGAUGCUUGUCCUCGUACCAGGACAGGAGAGCAGCUUCCUCUAAGAAAAGCUACUAGGUAAACCCGUGAUUUUAACCACAAUGCUAGUUGAGAACCGAUUACUCAAUUUUCUGACAAGGAACCGUUGGCUCAGCCCAGCUUCACUUCGGCGGCCUGGCCCCUGGGGUCGCACCGUGAGUCAAGGACGACGUAGGACGAGGGCCCAUGCAUGCCGGGCAGCUCUUGAGUCUCCCUUAUGACAGUGUUUGCUGGAGCGCGUGCAAGCACCCUCGCAGAGGGACCCAGCCUCACAGAUGCGCCUGCGGGCGAAAGUCUGGGAGGGCAAGUUUGUUCCCUAAACCGGGAGAAACCUCCUUCCCAAAGGCCAAGACGGCUGCUGAUGAACCAGGUAUGGGGCGGCCCGAGCUGCCCAGGGAUGGCCAGGCCCCGAGCCAACGCCAGCAGGACCAGAGCGGCCGCCUGGGUCUCGUCCCAUCUCCCACAGAGUCGCUCUGCAGCACUGCUGGCAGCCCCGACCUUCAGCACUGCCCGUGCCACGUCUCUCCUGACCUUCCCUGAGGGCAAAUGCCAGCGUCUAGUGCAGCUGCCAAGAGAAACAGUGGCUGGGAGAGUGCCCUUGAAAACGCUUCAGUCAGGAACCAUCCAGACACCGUAAACACACACUUUACGUCGGGUUUAAUGAACGCCUCGCUGCCUUGAUAACUGUGAUUUCUUUAUCUCCCAGUAAACAGGCACCAGGGCUCUCAUUUCUAUUUCACAGAAUAAAAUGUUGCUCUGUAAACACUUGGGCAGCGGCCGCCCAGCACAGCCUCUCCCUGUGGGCCCCAGUGGGGGCGAGCACCCCUGUGGGAGGUCUCUGCCCCGAUCCCCAGAUGCCACCCCCAAGUCCAGUAGGGACCGAAACCGCCCAAGGAGCCUCUGGAAUUCAACUAAGCGUGAACGUGAGAGCUGAGAGGGACCGUGCCUGCUUUUCUCUGGCACCACCUGCUCAGGUCUGUGCAUCUGAGAAGUAGCCAGCGCUGUGGAGACCUGUGACUGUGACACAGGACACAUCCACCAGGGGCUGGGGGGGCUCGAGGGGGCGGACCAGGAAAGCCCCCGUUCCUAGAAAUGCAGGCUGUGCCCCUCACAUGCACAAACUCGUCAAACUCCCCGUGCAGAGCAGCGGCGGCUUUUGUCUGAAGCCUCAGAGGAGCCCUGCUGGGGGCGCUGCCUCUCCUCUCCCUGCGAUCAGGUCUGAUCGAAUGUGGUUGGGUGUGAUCUGGUGGGAUCGAGUGGGAUCUGGUAGGAGCAGAGGUGUGAUCCAGUGGGAUCGAGUGGGAUCUGGUGGGCACCUUCAUCGGAGCAGGCAUGGGACUGAGGUUGCCCAAUCAGAGCCCUGGGUAUCAGGACAGUAUGACUGAUCCAGGGUGAGCACAUGACCCCAGGGCCUUGGAACCAUCUCCCAGGCUGGUGUGAACACAAGUUUGGGGAGCAGAGAGAACAGCUCUGAGGGGACGGCAGCCUGGAGCCGGUGUUGCUGCAGAGCUGCUUGGGGCAAAGCAGCAGGAGGAGGAGCUGUGGAGACGGACGGAGGGAGAGCCAGUGGCACUGUCCGGAGCUCGAGAUCCAUCUGAUACAAUCCCACUCUAGGACGCUUUCAAGGACCUGAGCCCAUACAGCUGUGACGCUUCCAUUGCGUGGAUUUAGUUUGGCUUUGAUUCCAUCUCUUGGAACCACCAGAAUCUUAGUUCUGCACCACGUGAGAGAGACGUUCCUCCAGUAGGCGGUGCAGUGGACUGAGCGUUGUCCCCCCAGAUCCACGCGGUGAAUCCUGACCCCAGUGUGAUGGUAUCAAGGGAGAGAGGCCAUGGGGCAGAGCCUCACGAUGGGGUUAGUGCCCUGAUAAAGAGGCCCCGGGCUCCCGGCACCUUCGGCCACGUGAGGACACAGCGAGAAGAUGGCCGUCUGUGAACCAGGAAGCCGGCCCUCACCUGACCCUGGACCCCCGGAGCUGUGAGGAAUAAAUGCUGUUCUUCAUAAGCCCCCUGUCUGUGGUGCUUUUGUCACAGCCCCUGGAACAGACAAGACAGGCAGGCGAAGAGCCCCUCCGAGGACCCCGGCCGGGAACGGGUGCAGCCUCACUGACUCCAGCGACUUGCUCACAAUGAGACGCCUGCGGUUCUCAGUGCAUGAACAUGGGCUCCACUGAGGGGGCUUGCUGAAUGUGGACCACAGGCCCACCAGGGGUUCUGUUCAGUCAGGUCCGGUGGGUCCCAGGAAUCUGCAUUUCUCACAAACGUCCUUCUGAUCACAGCAGACCACAUCUUUAUGAAGAUGAAUCUACUGUGUGACGUCAGCCACUCUUGACCAUCCACGUGGAAUAUCUGUGCCUAAGAUUCCUGCCAAGAACCACGACCUCGAGCUUCUCCUCAAAUCCCCACUGACGAGGGAGGAGCCCAGGAGGAGCUCCGUCCCUCCAUCGGUGCCUCCACCAGCUCCAGGCAGAUCCGCGCAGGGCGGUGGUCUGACGUUGGUGUCCGCGCCCCUCCAGACCCCACGAGGGGCCGCACUAGGAGUAGCACCAGGGAGAGCAGGGGGUUGUCACCUCGUCCCUCGAGGCCUCUUGUAUGAAAAGCUCAGCUGACAGAGUUCAAACCCCAGGUGUCCUGUGCGUCUCACCUCACGCACGUGAGAAAUCUCAGACCCUCCACAGACUUGCGGCCGCUCUCGCGAGCGGACGGGGAUCCAGCAGCAGAACUUCAUUCUGAAGAUACUUCCCUGGCGGCAUUAUUUUUCUACUCCUGUUUUCUCCUCACUUUGUUCCCUCAAGUCUGUGUUUCCUCGUUUUACACCACAUGCGUCUCUGUAAGGGCCUUGCAUGGAGUCGGUUUGGAAUGAGCAGGGGUCUCAGAAACAGUCCAGUUUGGAUCCCGACCCAUAAAGAAGGAGUUCUUUAGACCCGAAAAGUUUGCUGAAGGGUAACUGUGGAGCCUCCUCAUCUCCAGACAGGACAGCGGUGCGUCCUCCUCGCUUCCUGACAGGAUGACUGUGAGGCCUCCUCACCUCCUGGAAGGAUGACCGUGUGGCCUCCUCACCUCCUGAGAAGACGACUGUGCGGCCUCCUCACCUCCUGGCAGGAUGACCGUGUGGCUUCCUCACCUCCUGACAAGACAACUGUGUGGCUUCCUCACCUCCUGGAAGGACGACCGUGUGGCCUCCUCACCUCCUGACAAGACAACUGUGUGGCUUCCUCACCUCCUGGAAGGACGACUGUGUGGCUUCCUCACCUCCUGACGAGACAACUGUGUGGCUUUCUCCCCUCCUGGCAGGAUGACCGUGUGGCCUCCUCACCUCCUGACAAGACAACUGUGUGGCUUUCUCACCUCCUGACAGUGUGACCGUGUGGCCUCCUCACCUCUUGACAAGAUGACUGUGCAGCCUCCUCACCUCCUGAUAGAGUGGCUGUGUGGCCUCCUCACCUCCUGACAAGACAACUGCGUGGCUUCCUCACCUCCUGACAAGAUGACUAUGCAGCCUCUUCACCUCCUGACAGGGUGGCUGUGUGGUGUCCUCACCUCCUGACAGGACAACUGGAGCCUCCUCACCUCCUGACAGUGUGACGGUGUGGCCUCCUCACCUCCUGACAAGAUGACUAUGCAGCCUCCUCACCUCCUGACAGGGUGACUGUGCAGCCUCCUCACCUCCUUACAGUGCAACUAUGGGGCUUCCUCACCUCCUGACAACUGUGCGGCUUCCUCGCCUCCUUUCAGGGUGACUAUGGGGCUUCCUCUUCCCCAUAAGUCAUGGGGAAUGAAUUCUCCCAGCCUUGCCUAGCAUGCACUAAUCAAGCAGCUCACUUCUUCCUAGGAAUCUUUCACUUGGAGGAAAAACCAGGAAGAAAAAAAGACGAAAUGGGAAGUACUUGUGAUGACUGUCCGUGGCCAAGCCCACGUCUAGGAAAACUCACUUCUUUCCUCACUCUCCCGCAUCACUUCUGGCAGCACAUGUCCGGGUUUUCCCGCACGAUCAAUUCUCCAGCACCUGCAGGGUGUCCUAGGAUUCGGUUCAGUUCUGACACUAUCCAGUGCAGUUGGCGUCAGAUCCCACAGGAUAAGGCUCAGCCCCACAGGACUGCCCCCACUUCAGACGCGAGUUGCAAGUCCCAGGUUGUCACCUGUGCUCCUGAUCAGCUACAAGACAGGGGGCUCAUGACCCCUCCUUGGGUUCAAUAGUUUGCUGGAUCGUCUCAGAACUCAGGGAAUUGACAUGUUUAUUGGUUUAUUACACAGUAAAGGAUGUGAUAAAGGUCUGAAGACGUGAUUAGGUCCAGAAGGGUCAGAACACAGGAGUUUCUGUCCCCUUGGUCUUGAGGGCACCACCCUCCCAGCAGGUGGAUGCGUUCCCCAGCCCGGAACCCUCCAGGCCCUGCACUGUCGGGGUUUUCGGGAGGCUUCAUCACAAAGGCAUGAUCAGUCAUUAACUCCACUUCCAGCCCCUCCCCCUCCCUGGGGAACAGGAGGUGAGGCUGCAAGUUCCAGCUGCUAAUCGAGGUGUGGUCUUUCUGGAGGCCAGUCCCUAUCCUGAAGCUCCAGGACCCACCAAGAGUCACUUCGUCAGAACAAAAGAUGCUCCUAUCGCCCAGGAUGUUACAAGGAGCUCUGGGUCGGGAACCGGGGUCAAGGUCCAAACAUUAGGACAGCAGAUGCUCCCGGCACCUUAUCACUCAGGAAAUUACAGAGGUUUAGGCGUCGUGGUCAGGAGCGGGGCAAAGACCGGAAUCCAUAUUUCUUAUUACAGACAGUCCCCGACUUAGGAUGGUCCGGCCUACGGUUUUCCGACCUUACGAUGAAGUGAAAGUGACACGCAUUCAGCAGACUGCUGGGUUUUGAAUCUUGAUCUUUUCCCCGGCUGGUGAUACGCAGUGAGUACAGCUCCCAGUCAGCCGGCGAUCAUGAGGGGGGACAACCGACACUCUUACAGCCACUUGGUUUUUCACUUUCAGUCCAGUGCUCCGUGAGGUACCUGACACAUUCAUUACAUCACAGAAAACAGGCUCCGUGCUGGGUGACUCUGCCCAAGUGCAGGUGUCUGAGCAUGUGAAGGAAGCUGCGCUGAGCUACGGCGUUCGGUAGCUGAGGGGCAUUGCGUGCGUUUCCAACUCAUCUUUUCAACUCACGAUGGGACGUAACCCCAUCGUAAGCCGAGGAGGUUCUGUGCCUCAUAUCACACCUCCUUUCCUCUUUAGUGGCAGUUCUCCUGACCUUUAGGUGGGCACACGGUCACCUGAAUUAUUGACAUAUUUCCCAGCCUCCCUUGCAGUCGGUGUAAGUGGGUGAUGAAGUUGGGGUGACGGAGCAGUCAGAUGUGAGGGCUGGAGCUCCAGCAGUCAUUUUGGAAGGGAGAAUGGAAGCCACGAGCAGCGGGAUGAAGCAUUCCUGGUCGCUGGUGCCACCCCCUCCCCCUGCAAACAUCAUGCGAGCUCCUAGGGCCAACCUCCGUGCUUCCUCUACGUAAAAGAAGACGCGCUCCGCCUUGUUUUAGCCACCAUUAUGCUGGUUUCUGUUGAUGCAGCUGAACCUAAUCAUAGAGAAUAACAAACAACACCACCACAUCUGUAACUGUUACAAGGCCGCCUCUGCUGCAGCAUCGCCCAGCCUGCGUCAGCAUCCUGUCACAUCCUGGUUCUCAUGGAGGCCUUCGGUCCCGUGCAGCUGUCUAAGAACCGCUGAUCACUCUGGCCCUGCUGGCGUGGGAUUCAGGGGGAGCUCCUACAUGUUCCAGGAAACCCCAGCACUGUCUUUGGUUCUGACUCGGUGUCCCCGGCUUUGUCCGCCUCUCACUCACGGCAAGUGUCCUCCCCUGCCUUUCUGACCUCGUUGGUUGUGGCAAAGUCCACUGAGUAGAUGGCUCAACAUCGGGCUGCUCUCCUGCUGGUGUCCGGUCAGCCCUGGGCUGUGCUCACCGGUAAGACCUCCUGGACCAGGGUUCUCUGCCCGCAGACCAAGCCCUCCAGCCACAGCCUGCCGGCUGCUUGUGUCCCUGAGACGUGAGCGGGAACAGAGCUGGUGCGCAGAGGUCUCCAGAGGAGCCUGGAGAGGGACACGUGCAGCUGCUGCCUGCCAGCAGGCCGAUUCUUCAUCUCAGGACAUGUGCCUCCCAGGGGGUGUCAUCGUCCCAGCCUUGGAGAUAGGGGAGGUGGCCUGUCUGAGGUCACGCAGUGGGUGCCUGGCGAGCCUGCCAGUCCCAGGCCUGCUCUCCUGCAGCGGCUCCGUGUGCACGGGCUGUGGACAAGACCGUGGCACAGGUCACGCUGAGCAGUGCUGCAGACUCAUGGACACCACACCCUCUGUGCCCCCCGAGGGAGCGUGUCACCUGCCAGGAGGUCCCAGUUCCACGUGGGGGGCUCAGCCCCAGCCCCAGAGUGGAGCCUGGGCACAGGUGUGAGACCCCUGGCCCAGCUCACGCACCUGUACUCGGUUCCCAAACAGCAGCCACACGGCCACCACCCAGGACCAACGUGUCCUGUAGAGAAGGCAGGUCUGGAAUGUUCCAGAGCACAGCAGCCGGACGUGAAGGAAGAGAAAGUGAGGCUGCUGAGAAGACCCGUGUUCUUGGGCUGACCUCUGCUGGAGUAUGGCCAGGCCGUCUCUCUGGGCCUCCUGAGCCACAGUUAGGCAGCUGGUUUAUGAACCAUGAAGCAGGCUUUACUCAGUGGCCACAUCAGCUUCUGCUGGAAUUCACAAACUGGUGCAUCUUUCACAUCAUCCAACAAAGGGUCACCCGUCUGCUCUCUGCUUCGGAAAGAGGGCAACUGUCAGGUCCCGCCCUGUCUGCAGUGACGUCCAUCUCUGCUUUAACUGUGCUGCCCCUGUGGACGGCAGGGAGGGCUUUGCAUCCGCUGACGGGGCCUCAAUGGGAGGCCGCAUGCCUGCUUCUUAUUGCAAGGAAGAACCAAAACGAUCAGAAGGGCUCCAGCCUCCUCCCCCAGGCCCACCGUGCACCGUGGGGCAGCCUUGUGGGUCAGUCCGAGAGGACAGCCACAGCCCAGGGGUGUCGGCGACUUUCACAGGCUGCACUGCCAUCCCACGGCCUCCCACCCCGAUGUCUCUGGGAUCAUCCUGAGCGUUGUGAGCUACGCCCCUCGUCACAAACACACCCGUGUGCCACACAGGGCUCCCUCCAGAAGUGGCUGUGCAGGGAAACCCUGAGGCCCCCAUCUGCGCUGGCAUUUGCAGAGGUGACCCUGGCAGCCCCCUACUGUGUCCCGGGCAGGUCGGGUCACCUGCCCCCAGCACCAGCCUCUGCCACUUCAGUGGUGCCCACAGACCAGUGUCCCCCCUGCUCAGACAGCCCCAAUGUCUCUGGAAAUGUCACACCACGUGGUACAAGCCGCUUUCCAGCUUCUGGAGCCUCUCGGCCCCCUGUGAGCACAGACACCGAGCAGCUCCAACACCAGGAGGGCGGCGGCUGCCGGCGGGGAGGGACGCCACCGAUGGCGGUCACAGGCUGGAGACUCAGGGUGAUGGGAGAGAAAGGACGUGGUCACCAGCGAGGACCAGCCUCCCAGCGACAGCUGAGAUGGGGCUGUGAUGUGUCGACCUCCUUCAACCUCCACUGUGGAAGUUUCCGGCAGGUUGGAAGGGGGGUGAGAAGCAUGUUGAUUCCCUCCACCCCCCAGCCAGUCUACCCCAAUAGAAGAGCCCUCGAUGGGAAGGAGGGGAGAUGGGGCAAGUGGACAGGCAUGUGGACUCCCCACACAGGACCACGCAGGCCUGGUUCACAUCGUCAUCUGGACGGACGGGCAGCCUCACUGGUCAUGCACAGAAGCUUCCAGGACGGGGAGCGAGCUCUGGAGCCCCAAACCGGUCCAUCUGUUCCUGAGAGCCAGCGACAGCCCGGCAUGCAGGCUCUGGGCAGGAGGAAGGAUUCAGUUUCCGGGGAUGAGAAAGCAUGAACACUGUCACUGUCGCUUCUCACUUAAAAACCCAUAGUUUCAGCCUUAUGCUGUCGCCUCCUGGAUUCUUCGCAUUUCAACACCCCAUCAACCUGUUGAACUGAAUAAUGAGGCAGGUGUGGGAAGGGCUGUGUCUUCUGCAACGGACGGAGGGUUUGGAGUCGCUCCCUGACACAAUUGGGAAAAAGAAAACUAACCGAAUUGUGGAAAGGCCAGCCACUAUCACCGACUGCCUCUCAUCAUGAAGAAAUGCGUUUUCAGAGCAAGCCCACUUGUCACUGAGAAUGACUGACAGCCCACCCCAGAGGAUGCCUCCGGAACAGGGCUCCUGCGGUGCAGGGGGAGGCAUGACAGCGGCGCUCAGCAGUGGCACUGACAGCAGGUCCCCACCUUGUGCACCUGGUCGGGUAGCCUGCUGACGAGAGACAACUGCCACCUGUCCAGACGCAGAGCAGCUUUGAUCCAAGGCUUCAGAACAAAACUAUUUUAUAAGCAGGUUUAACCGUAC
Long non-coding RNA from Equus caballus (horse), 15588 nucleotides. The record is from Ensembl. NCBI's taxonomy places the organism in Eukaryota, Metazoa, Chordata, Mammalia, Perissodactyla, Equidae.